AGCCACCGCCACAGCUCUCGCUCGCUCGCCGCCCUCACAUUUUACGCGCGCAAACUUCGCCGCGAACUUCAAAGUCAGUUCGUGCUUUCAAAGUCAUCGGGCGUCGGUCAUCGAUUGCUCAGCUAUCGGUUCCGUUGUGAUUUAAUUAAAAUCGUAGCGGGCGCGUUAAUUGACUGCCACUUUGAUCGAGCGCCGAGCGCCGGCGAAAAAUGAUAAUGACCUGUGACACCCGCGGCGACUAACCGCAGGAAGACAACGACGUUGACAGCUACGUCGAUAAAAUAUCGAUUCGCCGCCUCCGCCCAAAGCUUCUUCGUGAUGGUCGGCGGGCGACACAUUUGAAUCCUGCCGCUACGUAAUCCGGCUGUAAAGUGUGUCUUGAUUAUAGCCGGCUUUUUCGCGCCGCCACCGACGACGACGACCUCCCACCGGGACGUCCAGUCACGGACCGUGCGAUUAAUCAAUUCGAUUUUUUAAUUAAUAAUUUCCCAUACAUAUUUUCCCUCGGCGGCGUUCGCUCAGUCCGUCAUCCGGUGCUUUGCGUCGUAAAUGUCCGGCCGCGUAUGAAAUAAUAGUGACGAGGCUGCGCCGCCUCGCCGCCGCUCUGCGUGCGCUUUGAACAAACGAGAGUGCGUUUUUUUGCCCGCUGCUCCUGCCGUCGAUAUCAAAACGUCGCGACGGGGACGGCGUUAAUUACCAGCGGGGACGAAAGCAAGCAGCUUUUUCCGUCAACACACAUACUCACACAUACACGCACACGACCACCCCGCUAUAGGUGUGUGGUACGUUGGCACAUAUAUCAACCGACAUCUAUUCUAAUUAAUCAUCCAAUCGGUUGUCAAUAAUUAAAAACCAAUCGAUCUACGGAAUACCGGAGUUCCGGACUCGAGUUGUACGUCUCUUCGGUUUAAUUUUUUUUCCCACGCGUGUUGCGCACGUGUGUUACAAAUUUUCAUUUAAACCCAACUUAUGAGAACUUCAAACCAGCAGAAAAAAAGAACACAAACGUGAGUGGCGCAUAACGCAUACGUACUUUAAUUCCGAGCGGUAAAUAACAAUUUGAAACUUUUUGCAAACUUUUCACAUACGAACAGUUUAAAAGUGAUUUGUUUAAAUUAAUUACACGCGACUUAAAUGGACCUAAAAACGCGCUAGAUUUGGACAAACAGAUAAAUCAACCGAUUAAAAGAAGAACAACACCAAUCGACACGUUACAGUGAAGGCAACGAUGGCGAACUUCAUUCCCAUCUUCAUUUUAAUUAUUGGCAUUGUGGUGCAGGCCGGCGACGGCGUCAAAAUCAACAAGCUGAAAGUGCCCAAGCUAAUAAAACACGGCUCGCCGUCGGUCAUCUUGGACUGCGACUUCACGCUGGAGGACAGCGACGAGGAGCCGGUGGUCAAGUGGUUCUUCAAUAACGAUCGCACGCUGGUCUACCAGUGGAUACCGGGAAAACGUCCACAAGACUCCGGUAUCCUGAAAGGACGCCUCAAACUGGAGUACAAGGCAAGCGAGGACCCCAACUGUCUGCACCGUGCGCUCUAUAUUCUGCAGCCGGGGCCCGAUCUCUCCGGCAACUACACGUGCCUGGUGUCGACCUUCCAGAGCGAGGAAAUCAGGACCAAGAGUAUGCUCGUCUACGUGCCCGGCAAGAACCUUGCGCUGAAGGUGCUCUACUCGAACAUGGAGUUCACGAAGGUCGAGUGCCGCGCGGAGGGCGCAUUCCCCCGGCCGGAACUCGUGCUGCGCCUCCCCGAAUACGGGGAGAUCAACGACACGCAGAUCGACAUCAAGCAGCAGGGCCUGCUUUACGACGUCACCGCCACUGCCACUAUUCCGACGCCGCCUCAUCCGACGGACGUCAGCUGCGUGCUGAAUAUUCCCGGCGCGAACUACACCAUGACGCAGGAGACCGUCAUCUUCCCAGAUUGUCCCAACAAAAAAAACCUUUGUUUUACAGCAUGUAGGCUGGUCUAAUAACAAUAAUGCUUUUGAUGGUUAACUUUUGUAAUCAAACGUUCGUUUAAUUCUCCAGUGAAAAAGCAAAUAAUGUGCCAAAAGAAAUUUUUGCGGAAAUUUCUCACAUUGCAAAAAAUCAAGUUUUUAUCCGAUCUUUCCAAUUAUCUCUUGGUUUUUCUGGCCAGCUUCACGCGAUAAUUAAAACUUUGGUACUUUUACAUUAAAAUCCUCCAAUUGCAUCUCUACCGACAGUAAUUUCUUUGUUUACAUUUAUUGUUGUAUGAAUACAGACUUGUCUCUUGUAAAUAAUUGUGAGUAUGAUGUAAAAAAGUUAAGCGUUGCAGGGUUAACAACGUAAUGUCAGAAAUUAGCCUGAAAUCGAGAGUAGAAAAUAGCCCAUAUUACUCGGGGAUGUACUGUUGCGCACCGGCGCACACAUAACGCGCGUCGUAGUUUCUUCGGCAAUUUUAACUCUUUGCUGCUAUAACAAUAUAGUAAAUAUGGCAGAAAAUUUGACGAAAUUUUCGCUCAGUGUUCUCGACACAAUAAAGCGCGCGCGAAUGUGCACUUUACCAAAUGGUCGUCUUGUUCUUGUUGUUAUAACGAAUAGCAGACCCGGCCGUUUGUACGACAUUCAUACACGCGCCUUUGCACACACAACAUCCACGCACACAAAUACAUACACAUCGACCGCCUCCACACGCGCAGCAUUCACUUACCGCCGCGAGCGCGCACACGUACACGCGGCCGAAUUGAAGAAAGUCAGACGUUCCGAAUGGAACACGUCGCAUUAAACUUAAAUCGCUUUCCAGCAUUUUCGCGCACAAUUUCCCGCGCUUCGCAAAGUUUCGCUUUUGAAGGGCUUAAGUGCAUCGAAAUCACACGUGAAGCUUCCUACGCCACAGCCACUUAAACGCGUGUGAAGAAAAUUUUCGCGCGGCGCCGCAUCAUUGUUUGUCAGACACCUCCUUAAUCGGAUCGCACGAGUCAGCGGCGGUGGAAUGCACGCCGGCGGGCGCAAUUAUUUGCCAAGAAUGUGCGCUUCCGAACAAAAAAAAACAGUAAUUUAUUUCAGGCGCGGUCGACUCAAAUAUCAAUUUCCAUGAACGAGCCGCGAACCAACGCCGCUCGUUUUUUGUUUUAUUUUUCAAACUCGAAAGAGACUUAUUGCUGUUUAGUGACGGCUUUACAAAUAACAAACAUUACGUAAUACAACGAAACAAGCAAACUACAAAUGCGAGCCGAGGCGCGGUCGUAGGGGGCGACCGCAGAAAAAUACCAGCACAAGCGGGAAAAGGGACGGAAGGCGGUGGCAGCAACGCGCCGCAAAAAAUACACCCGAACGGGCAAAUAACUAAAUUUGGUGGCGCGUUUUUUCCUUGCUUCUCUUUCAUUUAGCCUCAUUCCACACUCAUUGCUUGGUGUUUCGUUCACGACAAGUACAUUACUCAAAGUUCUUUUCCAAACUUUUCCACUCCGCUUCGUAUUUACGACGCGCGCACGUAAGACAAAGACGCGCGCCGGCGAAGACUUAAAAGUCGAUGAUUCUUUUCGUGCGGACUGCGCCUCGGCCAACGUCAUUUAGCGAUUAUUUGCUUUUUUUGUGUUCCACGCCGUUUCGCGCUGUGCUGUGCUGCACUGGGUGGGCGGUUGGCAUCUCGCUUUUUUUUUUCCGCCGAAGCAUGCACUCAAAACGCGACUACUUCAUGCGCUUAAUCUUGACUUAUCGUUAUGAUACGCUCCGCAACAUAAGUAUAACUACUCAACGACUCGCCGAACUAUACACACACCAGAUGCUUGCUGCCCGGCGCCUCCACUCGACGGCUCUCAGCGUAAUCUACCGCAAUGGUUAUAAACUAUAAAAGCCCAUCUCGAAUUGCAUAUUUAUAAAGAGUAUCGUUAGGGCGGAAGUCUGCGCGUCUGCCCCAAAAAAGCCCGCGACGACGUAUCAAGGGUGUAUCAAGAGUUUUAAAAAUUUACAUUUUUGGGCGACGCGCGCGAAAUAACGAGGAAAAAGUCGAAACCUUUUAGCGACAAUUUUCCAGCGGCGCGCGCGAAAUGAGGGACGGGUGCGGGGAGCUGCGAUGGGUGGGGUGUUCGAGCGUUAAAAGUUUAAAUACGUUCCGUACGUGCGUGCUCAACUUUUCUUUUACUUUGCCAUCCAAAUACGUUCGCUACGUGUUUCGAUAUGUUUGUGCGUUGUCGUUCUUUAAGCGAACGUGAGUAUUAACGGUAGAUUGUAUAUACGAAGUUGUUUUUGUGCCGCCGCCGCCACCACAGCCAUUACCAAAACCGCUCACGGGCAUCCUCCUUUGAAGAGUCUUCGCAAUUUUGGGGCGCUGGGUUUGAACUUAUUAAAAAUUAUUUGUUUUUCGUGUUUUAUCAGCGCACAUUUAUUGAAAUUCGAUGAAGCAACACACGACGUAGUCGAGCAAAUUCGAAGGGCUUCGUACGUCAUUCGGGCGCGAUUCGCACUUUCUCUCGCGUCGCUUGAUCGCAUCGCCAGCGUUUAGUUACGAGCGCGUAAAAUUUAAUGAAAAAUAAAGUCUAGAGUCUAGUUUGCGUCUAGUUUGUAAAAAUGCAGACCUCGCUACCGGGGGCGCGCAUCGCCAUCCAUGCCUGCCGCAGCUACUGAUAGCCGAUGUAAAAUUUUAGAAUUUAAUAAACGAAAAGUCAAUGCAGUUCGCGCGCAUUUCGCGCGCUCGGCUUGGCAGCUAUGUCGCGCGUUACUGCCGCGAUACUUUCGCAGCACCCGCCCCAGCGCAUGUAGUUCAACGGUGCGCGAACGUGCUAAAGAUUUUGGCUCCGCCGCCAGACAGACGAUGAAGCAUGGCAGAAGCGUUUUAAAGAUAAUGAAAAUAAAACCACCUCGAAGCGCCGAGCCGGCCCCGCAGCCAGCCAGCGCGCUACUUUAUAUAAAAUGUUCUUACAAUAUAUUACUGCUUAUCUUUAUGGUGACCGAAAGAAUGGAUUUUGUUUUAUGCCGCCAGCAGCCAGCGACGCGACCAUAUUUAACCGUAUUCCGAGCGCGCCGAGCCGAAAUUUACGUAUUCGCGAGCAUUUAAUUCCAACAUACGCCGUCUGAGGAAUAUUAUUUAGGGCGGUUUUGGCACGUUAUUUAUCGGCCCGCGGUCGGGCAGGUGGCGCCCAGAUUCCGCGCGUAAUCUGCGCGCAUCAUCGAAAUUUCUAAUCGUCCCACUCCAUCCAGCCGCUUUACCUUUUUCGCCCGUCGUAACACACACACGCUGCAUACGAAAUUUUGAUUCAUAUUUAUACGCGUUUUCUCGCGCGCACGUGCUUACCGACGUAAUUAACCGAAGAGUUACAAUGAAUAUCUGAGGACGAUUUUCGCAUCGUCACUGUGGUCGUUGCGGUGUUGUGUUCAGAAAGUGUCGCCUAACAUUUUCUUGCAUUCUUGCUUCAUUAAACUGAAGCAUCCAACAUGAGCCUUGCUCAACCCGACGCCGACUGACCCACUUAAGUUAAAACCGAUGAGGGUUAUUGGCAAAGUAAACGAGAAGAGGGCACUGCAGGACGCCGAGGAUAAUGAGACGAUUUUUCCAAGAAGAAACAUCCAAGACGUAUUUUUUGCAAAUAUUUUAUUUUUGUCUUUAUAAGCAAUCAUGCAUGCGAACCGACAAGGAAGACAAUUUUAUUUCUUGAAAUAUUCGUUUUCCUUAAUUUAUGCGGUUAUUUAUGCCUGAAAUUUGUUUUAUUCCAAUUCUAAACGACACUGACAAUAUGAGCGCGGGAGCUCAAAGGGACCGAGAUCGAUACACUCGUGCGGCGUGCUGCUGCACGUGAUCAUCUGCACAUUCAUGUGGCGAUUUCCGGCCGCCUUCGUGGGUUAGAUAAACCGUUGGUGGUGUCGCUGCUACUGCUGCUACUGCUGCUACCCCGGCGACGCGUCGGCGGACGCGGAUUCGCGAAUUGUUUACGCGCAAUGCGAUUGCAUUUCGCAUUUCGGCAUCAGCUCGACGCAUUUCACGUUACGUUACGUUAUAUUACGACCAAAAAAUGCACACACUAAAAAAUAAAAACCUGCAGCGCUGUUUUGUUGGUUUUGCGUAUCGACGAUUAACCAGGAGGUGGAGGCGACGGCAAUGCAGAAGGACAGUGUGUGAUGUGUGAAUGGCGCGGCGUCUACAGCGUUGCGAAUUUUAGCAGAUGGGCAGUCCUGUCCAUCCUGCUGAUUAUGGAAUGGACGGGAUGGACGGAUGGGAAGGUGCGGCAUGGAUUAGCGGAUUAAGAGAGAUUGAAGCGCAUGGCACUAGUAGCGAUAUGUUUCCGAUGGGAUUGUGAGUCCAAUCCAAUGGGUACGUGUAUGUUUCCCCCUAGCCUUUCAUUCACUCACCGCGCACCGGCGGGAGCAUUUUCAUGGAAGCGUUUCGAUAAUAUUCAUAUUUAUACAAAAAAAUACAACAACACUACGCAACACGAUCACGAAAUCAAGAAAUAGUAUAUUAUUCGGUAUAAGCAUAAUUAUUAUGCUCGGAUGGAGUAAGUACUAUACUUUAUCCUCGACUUGUGCAUACACUGCAAGGUGAUUGAUUGAUACAUUAUUACUCUAGGUUAUAAUGUAUGACAGAACAUCUGUUCAAUCAAUGAUGAAGUACCUAUGUGGUGCACCGAUCCGGGAUAAAAUAUAUUGUACCUAUCUAUUACAUAGCUUCUAAAUUACGAUUACGAAACGGAAUCACAACAUAAAAAUUUGACACUAAAUCAACCCCUGAAGCGGCGAGUAAACAAAAAGUACUAGGAGUAAUCGAAUUUGUACAUAGGAAAUAAGACUGCUAAUAAAUACGUGUUGCUAUACAUACCUAAGAAUAAUUAAAGAUGAUAAUAAAUCGUUGAAAAUUUCGAAUGGGAAAAAAAUUGAAAAAUCUUUCAAAAAAAUAUAUAUACAAGAAUAAGCUAUUCGUUUAAUCCUUGCAUCAGACAACUCUUCUCUCUUCAUUCGUCUCGUUCGUUUCACGUAUUUAGUUCGCCUCGUUUUGAUACAUGAAAUGGAUAUAUUAAUAAGGUAAUCGUAUAAAACUAAAUACACAUGUCUCUUUGUUGUAUAAAUGCAAACAAGCAUUGAGCUACGGGGCGAUCCGCAUGCAACGAUAAACUAGAGUAAAGAGUUUCAUUAGAUAUAUCGAGAUAUCAUCGGUUACGUUAAUAACCGGCACUGCUCACACGCGAUCGUGUUUUUCGACUCCUGUUCAUAUUUCUACUCUCCCCACUUGCGAUUCACUGAAAACUAUUCGUACUCGUACAUCUUCAUCAUCACGUAGAGUGCUACUCCUAGGCUAGACUUUUGUUAAGUGCCGCGGACAGAUUAAGAAUAACAUGAAUCGUUUUGUGUUUCAUGAAUAGCGCACCCUUAAUGCAUUAAUUCUUCUUACAAUUCAACUUACAAUUAGUUCCCGCUGAGUAACGCUCUUUGUUUCGCGCGCUCGGCGGGCGCUCGCAUUAUGCGGAAUUAGCAAUGUCAUGGCCGCGGAAGUUCAAGAUUGCAUAAACAGCAGCGCAUCACGCGUAAAAUACACGUAGCUGCAGCAUAUAGUGUGUUAGAUGUGUAAUAAUUCGCGCAUGCACACUGACCCGGCAUAUAUUAAUCAAUGCAAUCAAUUUCGAACGCGCAGCGGAUCCUUCAUCGAUCGCCCCGUAGACGUAUGCCGGCUAUGUAUAUGUGGUCAAUGAAAAAUGGUGGUAAAGCAAAUGAUGUACGUAAACACAACAUAUAAUAGACAAUUAAGUUGAAUGUAUCAAUUACAUAUGCAAACGGAUACGACGGCUAGUUUCGAAAUGCGCGCGAACGGCGCGUCGUGCAGCAAUAAUUGAUUAUGACAAUGAUUGACUAGAUAAUGCAUUACCGAGUAGAUAGGGGAUUAUUGAAAAAUGCACGAUCACGCUCGACCGUCGUAUUGCGAUCCAUUGCGAACACACACAUUACAUUACAUAUAUGAUAUAUAUAUAUUUAUGAAAAAUAAAGUAAAAAAAACUAUUUGUGAUAAAACUUUUAUUCUAUAUGAAUGUUGAAGUAAGGGAAUUUUAAACGAAAAACAAAACAAAAAUGAAAAUCGUAGUUGAACUGUUUUUUUUUAUUAGACGAAAUUUUUUAGUGACUACAAUUCUUCUUUGAGGGGAUAAACACACAGAUAAACACACUAAGGGGGAAAAAGAGACAUAUUCAUUUUAUAAAUAUUAUUAAUAAAUGAGUUGAGUUGCGAGGUCAUCACAGUUUAUGAACGGACAAAUUGAUAUUUAUGUUGUUGACGUACGGUUUUGGUCGUUCUUCUAUUACAAGACUAUAUAAAUUAAAUUUAAUUAAAUACUAUUGAAGACAGAUUAUUAAAUGAAAUGAAAUGGAAUAAAAAUUAAGUAAAACAAUCUUUGAUUAUAGCUUCUAUAUUGUAAACGAAUUUAUGAAAGAAUUUUAUGACUUAUUUUAUUAAUUGAAAAUGAAAUUAAAAUAAAAAUCAAUGUAAAUUUCA
This is an RNA transcript of Dalotia coriaria, 8439 nucleotides long. It is a transcript of the gene named selection and upkeep of intraepithelial T-cells protein 1-like, with no coding region annotated. The record is from RefSeq and is a predicted model, not a curated record. Lineage: Eukaryota; Metazoa; Arthropoda; Insecta; Coleoptera; Staphylinidae. The transcript is spliced from 9 exons.